This 456-nucleotide ribosomal RNA is filed under the name uncultured bacterium. RNAcentral describes it as "bacterial SSU rRNA". It matches the Rfam family "Bacterial small subunit ribosomal RNA", at positions 340 to 786 of the family's 1533-position model. The record is from RNAcentral.
UACGGAAGGCAGCAGGGGGAAUAUUGCACAAUGGGCGAAAGCCUGAUGCAGCUAUGCCGCGUGUAUGAAGAAGGCCUUAGGGUUGUAAAGUACUUUCAUCGGGGAGGAAAAACAAAACUAAUAAUUUUAUUUCUUGACGUUACCCGAAAAAGAAGCACCGGCUAACUCCGUGCCAGCAGCCGCGGUAAUACGGAGGGUGCUAGCGUUAAUCAGAAUUACUGGGCGUAAAGAGCACGUAGGUGGUUUUUUUAAAGUCAGAUGUGAAAUCCCUGGGCUUAACCUAGGAACUGCAUUUUGAAACUGAAAUACUAGAGUAUCGUAGAGGGAGGUAGAAUUCUAGGUGUAGCGGUGAAAUGCGUAGAUAUCUGGAGGAAUACCUGUGGCGAAAGCGGCCUCCUAAACGAAUACUGACACUGAGGGUGCGAAAGCGUGGGGAGCAAACAGGGAUUAGAUACC